RNAcentral lists this ribosomal RNA (253 nucleotides) under uncultured bacterium. Its description in RNAcentral is "partial 16S ribosomal RNA". It matches the Rfam family "Bacterial small subunit ribosomal RNA", at positions 524 to 776 of the family's 1533-position model. The record is from RNAcentral.
UACGUAGGGUGCAAGCGUUAAUCGGAAUUACUGGGCGUAAAGCGUGCGCAGGCGGUUUUGUAAGUCAGAUGUGAAAUCCCCGGGCUUAACCUGGGAACUGCGCUUGUAACUGGCAAGCUAGAGUGUGGCAGAGGGGGGUGGAAUUCCACGUGUAGCAGUGAAAUGCGUAGAGAUGUGGAGGAACACCGAUGGCGAAGGCAGCCCCCUGGGCUAACACUGACGCUCAUGCACGAAAGCGUGGGGAGCAAACAGG